AACGAACGCUGGCGGCAUGCCUAACACAUGCAAGUCGAACGAGACCUUCGGGUCUAGUGGCGCACGGGUGCGUAACGCGUGGGAACCUGCCCUUAGGUUCGGAAUAACUCCCCGAAAGGGGUGCUAAUACCGGAUGAUGUCUUCGGACCAAAGAUUUAUCGCCUUUGGAUGGGCCCGCGUUGGAUUAGCUAGUUGGUAGGGUAAAAGCCUACCAAGGCCACGAUCCAUAGCUGGUCUGAGAGGAUGACCAGCCACACUGGGACUGAGACACGGCCCAGACUCCUACGGGAGGCAGCAGUGGGGAAUAUUGGACAAUGGGCGAAAGCCUGAUCCAGCAAUGCCGCGUGAGUGAUGAAGGCCUUAGGGUUGUAAAGCUCUUUUACCCGGGAUGAUAAUGACAGUACCGGGAGAAUAAGCUCCGGCUAACUCCGUG
This 433-nucleotide ribosomal RNA is filed under the name uncultured bacterium. RNAcentral's name for it is "partial 16S ribosomal RNA". It matches the Rfam family "Bacterial small subunit ribosomal RNA", at positions 29 to 507 of the family's 1533-position model. The record is from RNAcentral.